Molecule: ribosomal RNA, 539 nt
Filed under: Arthrobacter subterraneus
Lineage: Bacteria; Bacillati; Actinomycetota; Actinomycetes; Micrococcales; Micrococcaceae
Description: bacterial SSU rRNA
Rfam family: Bacterial small subunit ribosomal RNA
Source: RNAcentral
CUGCAUGGGCGCAGCCUGAUGCAGCGACGCCGCGUGAGGGAUGAAGGCCUUCGGGUUGUAAACCUCUUUCAGUAGGGAAGAAGCGAAAGUGACGGUACCUGCAGAAGAAGCGCCGGCUAACUACGUGCCAGCAGCCGCGGUAAUACGUAGGGCGCAAGCGUUAUCCGGAAUUAUUGGGCGUAAAGAGCUCGUAGGCGGUUUGUCGCGUCUGCCGUGAAAGUCCGGGGCUUAACUCCGGAUCUGCGGUGGGUACGGGCAGACUUGAGUGAUGUAGGGGAGACUGGAAUUCCUGGUGUAGCGGUGAAAUGCGCAGAUAUCAGGAGGAACACCGAUGGCGAAGGCAGGUCUCUGGGCAUUAACUGACGCUGAGGAGCGAAAGCAUGGGGAGCGAACAGGAUUAGAUACCCUGGUAGUCCAUGCCGUAAACGUUGGGCACUAGGUGUGGGGGACAUUCCACGUUUUCCGCGCCGUAGCUAACGCAUUAAGUGCCCCGCCUGGGGAGUACGGCCGCAAGGCUAAAACUCAAAUGAAAUUGACGG